Molecule: ribosomal RNA, 252 nt
Filed under: uncultured bacterium
Lineage: Bacteria
Description: partial 16S ribosomal RNA
Rfam family: Bacterial small subunit ribosomal RNA
Source: RNAcentral
UACGUAAGGGGCGAGCGUUAUCCGGAUUUAUUGGGCAUAAAGGGCGCGUAGGUGGUAUGUUAAGUCAGAUGUUAAAGGCCUUGGCUUACCCAAGGUUCGCAUUUGAAACUGAUGUACUAGAGGUUAGUAGAGGAAAGCGGAACUCACAGUGUAGCGGUGAAAUGCGUAGAUAUUGUGAGGAACACCAGUUGCGAAGGCGGCUUUCUGGCCUAAUACUGACACUGAGGCGCGAAAGCGUGGGGAGCAAACGGG